RNAcentral lists this ribosomal RNA (450 nucleotides) under uncultured bacterium. Its description in RNAcentral is "partial 16S ribosomal RNA". It matches the Rfam family "Bacterial small subunit ribosomal RNA", at positions 354 to 796 of the family's 1533-position model. The record is from RNAcentral.
GUGGGGAAUUUUGGACAAUGGGCGCAAGCCUGAUCCAGCAAUGCCGCGUGCAGGAAGAAGGCCUUCGGGUUGUAAACUGCUUUUGUACGGAACGAAACGGUCCGGGUUAAUACCCUGGGCUAAUGACGGUACCGUAAGAAUAAGCACCGGCUAACUACGUGCCAGCAGCCGCGGUACUACGUAGGGUGCAAGCGUUAAUCGGAAUUACUGGGCGUAAAGCGUGCGCAGGCGGUUUUGUAAGACAGGCGUGAAAUCCCCGGGCUCAACCUGGGAAUUGCGCUUGUGACUGCAAGGCUGGAGUGCGGCAGAGGGGGAUGGAAUUCCGCGUGUAGCAGUGAAAUGCGUAGAUAUGCGGAGGAACACCGAUGGCGAAGGCAAUCCCCUGGGCCUGCACUGACGCUCAUGCACGAAAGCGUGGGGAGCAAACAGGAUUAGAAACCCUAGUAGUCC